This is a long non-coding RNA of Anguilla rostrata (American eel), 1418 nucleotides long. RefSeq lists it as uncharacterized. The record is from RefSeq and is a predicted model, not a curated record. The transcript has 3 exons. Lineage: Eukaryota; Metazoa; Chordata; Actinopteri; Anguilliformes; Anguillidae.
UUUUAUCAUUUAUAAUAUUUUUUUAUUAUAAUUAUAAUUUUCAUUAUUUUACAAAGCAUUGAGGUGCCAGGUUCCGCCUCAGAGGGUGGUUGCCUCAGCGGGAGUUCAUCUGUAAAUAAAUGAUAAAAAUCAAACCAUUGUAGUGACCUUUUAUUUUGGGGGAUUUCAAUUAGGCAAUGUUUGGUCUAUACUGAAAAAGCAAAUGUUUAAAUUUUGAAUGCAAACUAAGCACUUAAGUAACACUUUUUAAGCACAUGGACAUGUUGAAGGAGAGAACACUUAUUCAGAGGUGUCACUAGGGGGGUGUGGACCGCACCGGGUGACACCAUCAUAGGGGGGUGACACCAAAAUGACUGGCAAUAAAUUUUUUGUGCAGUGUUUUGUGCAGCGACUGGUUUACUCCGAUGCAGUUUACUGCCGGUUGAUUUAAUUAGCGGUAUUAAUGUGACAAGAAGCGCUUUGUCAUUUGAAUGCAUAACACGCAAUUCCUUGCAUCCACUCCCACCAGCAUUUUUUUUUUGCCUCAGAUUUGACAUAAAACAAUUUUGUUUACUUCAUCAGUUGUGCGCCGUUCUCCAGAUACAGCGUACACUGAACGAGCAAUCGAUAGAAGCCAUAUACCAGUCAUCGCUCAACCUGAAAACCAUACUAACUACUUUAAUCGAAAGGGGUGGCAUUCUGUUAUCUUGCAAGCAGUUGUGGACCACAGAUUUUGUUUCACAAACAUCAACAUAGGAUGGCCCGGAAGUGUCUACAACUCUAGGGUUCUUCAGAAACAGCACAGAGGAGAUCACAGGCACACAAGUGUCCAUCAUGCUGCUGGGGGAUCCAGCUUACCCACUUCGGUCAUGGCUGAUGAAGGGUUACCCUGACACUGGGAAUCUGACCGAAGACCAGCAUUACUUCAACCAGAGAUUAAGCGGGGCUAGAAUGUCAGUGGAGCGUGCAUUUGGUCGAUUAAAGGGUCGAUGGAGUUGCCUGGCAAAACGUCUCGAUGUAGACAUAUCAUUGGUCCCUACAAUCAUCUCUGCAUGCUGCACUCUGCAUAAUAUAUGUGAAAAACACAAGGAGCCAUACAGUGAGGAUCCCAAUGCAGCUGGACCUCCUGACAUACCAGCAGAGGCCGUUGACCCGUUGGGUGUUGUAGACACCCAACCAUUAAGAAUCAGGGAGGCACUGACCCAACAUUUUGCUGAACAGCACUGAACUAUGGUGGCACAAGUAAUCGUAUAUAGGCUACUGUAGGUUAAAAAUGUAAUGACGUUAGCAAACGUAAAUGCCAAUUCAUAGUUUUAUAUUUGAAGCAUUUAAUUUAGACACAGUAUAUAGGACUUUUGCUGAGUACAGCAACGUUACUCACUUUUUUUUGCAUUGUGGUGUACAGUGAACUGAAAGUGCCUUAAUUGUAUAAUAAUAAA